AUGUCAGUUUCGUUAUUACAACCUUAUUUUUUUAUGUCAAAGACAAAAAGCUACGCGCAAAUUCUCAUUGGAUCUCGGUUGUUCUUAACAGCGAUGGCUAUUCAUUUAAGUCUUCGGGUAGCACCACCAGAUCUUCAACAAGGUGGAAAUUCUCGUAUUUCGUAUGUACAUGUUCCUGCGGCUCAGAUGAGUAUAGUUAUUUAUAUCGCGACAGCUAUAAACAGUUCCUUGUUCCCAUUAACAAAACAUCCCCUUUUUCUUCGCUCUUCCGGAACCGGUACAGAAAUUGGUGCUUUUUCUACUUUGUUUACGUUAGUGACUGGGGGGUUUCGGGGAAGGCCUAUGUGGGGUACCAUUCGGGUGUGGGAUGCUCGUUUAACUUCUGUAUUCAUCUUGUUCCUUAUUUACCUGGGUGCACUGCGUUUUCAAAAGCUUCCUGUCGAACCGGCUCCUAUUUCAAUCCGUGCUGGACCGAUCGAUAUACCAAUAAUAAAGUCUCCAGUCAACUGGUGGAAUACAUCGCAUCAACCUGGGAGCAUUAGCCGAUCUGGUACAUCAAUACAUGUUCCUAUGCCCAUUCCAAUCUUGUCUAACUUUGCUAACUUCCCCUUCUCUACCCGUAUCUUGUUCGUUCUGGAAACACGUCUUCCUAUUCCAUCUUUUCCCGAAUCUCCCUUAACGGAAGAAAUAGAAGCUCGAGAAGGAAUACCACUAAAAACCUAG
RNAcentral lists this ribosomal RNA (723 nucleotides) under Triticum aestivum (bread wheat). RNAcentral's name for it is "partial small subunit ribosomal RNA". The record is from RNAcentral. Lineage: Eukaryota; Viridiplantae; Streptophyta; Magnoliopsida; Poales; Poaceae.